AGCAAACAUCGAGGCAAAGACGGCGGGCAAGAACAUUUUCUAACGAGUUGUACUUCAGGUCUGUAAGGUUAUUAGCGAGAAACAACGGAUAAAUCAACGCUAAAGCCCAAGAAGAAAAAUGAUGAGGGAUAAAGUCUGGUUGGAUGUGUGAAACUGUGUCAGCAUUUUACACGUACAAAGGGGCUUGAUUUGACUAUCAAGAAGUGUCGUUAUGAAGAAAUGAGAUGUUUUACUAGCAGAAAAUGCCCCAAAGGUUACGCCCAUAAUUACACCCGUUUUACCUAAGAGGGAAGCGUGUCACAAAUCCAAUUCUGGUGAGAAAGAGGGACAUCCAAUCUGCAGAUGAAAAUGAGGUGCCUCCAGAACUGCAACAACAUGCUUGGUCAAAGAGGGAGAAAAGAAUAAUUCUCUGCGUUCAAACUCUUGCUCUAAAAACCAUCCUCUAAAUCUUCCACCUCUGGGGAAAAUGGAGGACUAAAUGCUUUUUGUGAUAUUGUGAGAAGGAUUUUUUCCCCUCUGACAGGAAAAAAACAGUCCUAGAGGGAAUGAGUUUCUCAGUCAACAAGUCAAAUCCUUCCAACCUCUUCAAACAAUAAUCAUCCCAUGGGAGAUCCAGCAGCUUCCUGUAAAGAGAUCCAUGUUUCCCCCCCAAAGUCUCGCUCAAAAACAUUUCUUUCACCAGGCAAAACAAAGUUGGGCUGGUUUCAGCUAAUGUGUCAUGUUGAUAUCUGGAGGAAAGAAAUUGGACAAAACUCCGUGACUCACCUCUUCCAGGCCCAAGGUUGUCCCUUUCAAUUUGGAUCAUAGCAGCUUCCGUGAGCAGAAACGUCAGCGAGGCGCUAAAACAGGCCGAAGCUGCAGAUUCCUGACCUCCUGAGACAGGAAACUGACCAAUCAGAGUCAGAUGUAGCAAAUCCCAGAGGAGCUCAGUUUUCCUGAAGCCUGUAGGUGGCAGUGGAGAGUCAUCUUGGGCCUUCCAGGUCUCUGGCUGAAGAAAUAAAUGACAGUAAAUAAACAAAUAUU
This is a long non-coding RNA of Xiphophorus couchianus (Monterrey platyfish), 1023 nucleotides long. RefSeq lists it as uncharacterized. The record is from RefSeq and is a predicted model, not a curated record. The transcript has 7 exons. Lineage: Eukaryota; Metazoa; Chordata; Actinopteri; Cyprinodontiformes; Poeciliidae.